UUUCCGUAGGUGAACCUGCGGAAGGAUCAUUACAGAGUUCAUGCCCUCACGGGUAGAUCUCCCACCCUUGAAUAUUUAUACCUUAGUUGCUUUGGCAGGCCGUGGAAACACCAUGGGCUCCGGCUUAUGCGUGCCUGCCAGAGGAAACAAACUCUGUUUUUAGUGAUGUCUGAGUACUAUAUAAUAGUUAAAACUUUCAACAACGGAUCUCUUGGUUAUG
RNAcentral lists this unclassified non-coding RNA (220 nucleotides) under plant metagenome. Its description in RNAcentral is "partial contains small subunit ribosomal RNA, internal transcribed spacer 1, and 5.8S ribosomal RNA". The record is from RNAcentral.